This 386-nucleotide ribosomal RNA is filed under the name marine Metazoa environmental sample. Its description in RNAcentral is "SSU rRNA". It matches the Rfam family "Eukaryotic small subunit ribosomal RNA", at positions 587 to 972 of the family's 1831-position model. The record is from RNAcentral. Lineage: Eukaryota; Metazoa.
AGCUCCAAUAGCGUAUAUUAAAGUUGCUGCAGUUAAAAAGCUCGUAGUUGGAUCUCGGGGUACCUGGUCUAGCCGGUAUAGCUCACGCUAAAACUGGUCUGACCCCCCAACGUGAGGUAUUCGUCUCCGGGUGCACUUCAUUGGGUGCUCGUGAGGGGCCUCGUAGUUACUGUGAAAAAAUUAGAGUGUUCAAAGCAGGCUCAUAUGUUCGGAUAGUCGUGCAUGGAAUAACUGAAGACGUGACUGGCGCUUUGCAGGUGGUCGCGGCGACUGGUCAAAUGAGGAAGAGGGACUGCCGGGGGCAUGGGGAUGGCGGGGUGAGAGGUGAAAUGCGUGGAUCCUCGCCAGACCAACAAAAGCGAAAGCAGGUGCAAAGAAUGGCUUCA